This 439-nucleotide ribosomal RNA is filed under the name uncultured bacterium. RNAcentral describes it as "partial 16S ribosomal RNA". It matches the Rfam family "Bacterial small subunit ribosomal RNA", at positions 342 to 795 of the family's 1533-position model. The record is from RNAcentral.
CGGGUCGCAGCAGCUGUGAGGAAUAUUGCACAAUGGGGGGAACCCUGAUGCAGCAACGCCGCGUGGAGGAUGACGCAUUUCGGUGUGUAAACUCCUUUUAUAUGUCAAGAAAAUGACGGUAGCAUAUGAAUAAGCACCGGCUAACUCCGUGCCAGCAGCCGCGGUAAUACGGAGGGUGCAAGCGUUACUCGGAAUCACUGGGCGUAAAGGACGCGUAGGCGGGUUGGAAAGUCAGGUGUGAAAUCCUACAGCUUAACUGUAGAACUGCACUUGAAACUUCUAAUCUAGAGUAUGGGAGGGGGAGAUGGAAUUAGUGGUGUAGGGGUAAAAUCCGUAGAUAUCACUAGGAAUACCUAAAGCGAAGGCGAUCUCCUGGAACAUUACUGACGCUAAGACGCGAAAGCGUGGGGAGCAAACAGGAUUAGAUACCCCUGUAGUC